RNAcentral lists this long non-coding RNA (1099 nucleotides) under Chrysemys picta bellii (western painted turtle). RNAcentral's name for it is "lncRNA (ENSCPBG00000013801.1)". The record is from RNAcentral. Lineage: Eukaryota; Metazoa; Chordata; Testudines; Emydidae.
UUAUUCUGCUUAAGAAAUAUUGAAGAGGUGAAAGGAAAUGUUCUGUCACAAUUUAAAUCCUCCUUCAAGGUCUGUAGCCAGAAGGUAGUGAUGGGCACCUGAUCCUGUGCCAACGGAGGGCACUUGUGGAGUAACACAAGGUUCAAUCAUCUCUCCUUGCCUUUUCCUUACCUUCAUGCAGCCACUGGAAGAAUUUCUGAAACUCCAUGGACUCAAAUGGCAGGAGUAUCUAGUAUGCAACUCUAUUAACCCUUCACAUCAUACUUUAACAGCAGUCCCAUUGGCCAAUACCUGCAAAUAGACGAGGAGCUGGCUGAAGAUGAAUCCAAGCAGACAGAAGUCAGGCUAGCAGGCAACUGUAAUCACUUUGAAGAACUUGCUGCCAGUAUGUUAUCGCCUCCAAUGAAGGACAUUUGUCCCAAAAUCACCAGGGUAGUUGCCGUCUAGGUGUCCUUCUAGAUGUCUUCCGGACACUGGUUUCUCACACAACACCAGCCACAAAAAGCAUGUUCCAUGAACUGCCAUUAUCAAGGAGACUCUGCCUAUUGCUUUCCAGUGGUGACCUGGCAUUGGCAUUUUCAAAUGUCUUUUGGAAAAUUAUAGUGGAAUAUACCUCAUCUAGACAACAUCAGCCUGGUGAAAGCUGAAACUGAUGUAAAAAGCAUCAGGUCACCUCCUCAGCAACAUGGGGACAAAAACCCCAUCACCCUUUACGUUGCUUGCUCCACUAACUCCUUAUUGAACAUCAGGUCAAGUUUCAGGUUUCACAGUAAAAUUUUCAAAAGUGUCUUAGGCUCCUAAAUAAUUUUUUUGAAAAUGGGAUUUAGGCUUCUGAAGUGCUUAAAUCCAAUUAGGGCUCAGGCACCUUAGUUACUUUGGAAAAUGUUACCUUUUGUCCUCAUUUUAAAGGACCUCUUAGGUGGGUUUUUUUAAACUUUUGCGUGAUUCAAUGAAAAAUAGUAAAUUGUUCUUAAAUGUCACCAAAAAUGAUUGUUUGUAAGGACAUAACCACUUGGAUUAGAAUGGAGAAAUUUUUCACACAAAACUAAAAAUCACACUUUAUUUUCAGAUUGCUCUAAUAAAUACGCAUAUUCUGGCA